UUAUUGGAGAGUUUGAUUCUGGCUCAGAACGAACGCUGGCGGCGUGGAUUAGGCAUGCAAGUCGAACGAUGCCGCAAGGCAUAGUGGCAAAAGGGCGAGUAACACGUGGGUAACCUACCUCCGAAACCGGGAUAACUUUGCGAAAGCGAGGCUAAUACCGGAUAAGACCACGGUUCAUAAGGACUGUGGUAAAAGGAAGCCUCUAUUUAUAAGCUACCAUUUGGAGAGGGGCCUGCGUCCUAUCAGCUAGUUGGUGAGGUAACGGCUCACCAAGGCUUUUGACGGGUAGCUGGACUGAGAGGUUGGUCAGCCACAAUGCUACUGAGAUACGGAGCAUACAUCUACGGAUGGCAGCAACUGGGAAUAUUCGGCAAUGGGCGAAAGCCUGACCGAGCGACACCGCGUGAGGGAUGAAGUAUUUCGGUAUGUAAACCUCUUUUAUCCCCGCAUCGAGCGGGGGAGAAUAAGCACCUACAAACUACGUGCCAGCAGUCGCGGU
This 499-nucleotide ribosomal RNA is filed under the name Candidatus Omnitrophota bacterium. RNAcentral describes it as "bacterial SSU rRNA". It matches the Rfam family "Bacterial small subunit ribosomal RNA", at positions 1 to 521 of the family's 1533-position model. The record is from RNAcentral. Lineage: Bacteria; Pseudomonadati; Candidatus Omnitrophota.